CCUACGGGUGGCAGCAGUGAGGAAUAUUGGUCAAUGGACGAGAGUCUGAACCAGCCAAGUAGCGUGAAGGAUGACUGUCCUAUGGGUUGUAAACUUCUUUUAUAAAGGAAUAAAACGAGGCACGUGUGCCUUUUUGCAUGUACUUUAUGAAUAAGGAUCGGCUAACUCCGUGCCAGCAGCCGCGGUAAUACGGAGGAUCCGAGCGUUAUCCGGAUUUAUUGGGUUUAAAGGGAGCGUAGAUGGGUUGUUAAGUCAGUUGUGAAAGUUUGCGGCUUAACCGUAAAAUUGCAAUUGAUACUGGCAGUCUUGAGUGCAGUUGAGGUAGGCGGAAUUCGUGGUGUAGCGGUAAAAUGCGUAGAGAUCACGAAGAACCCCGAUUGCGAAGGCAGCUUACUAAACUGUGACUGACAUUGAUGCUCGAAAGUGUGGGUAGCAAACAGGAUUAGAUACCCGGGUAGUC
RNAcentral lists this ribosomal RNA (460 nucleotides) under uncultured bacterium. RNAcentral's name for it is "partial 16S ribosomal RNA". It matches the Rfam family "Bacterial small subunit ribosomal RNA", at positions 338 to 795 of the family's 1533-position model. The record is from RNAcentral.